AAAACAUCUUUUCUUGAUAUUUAUUUGAGAUUUAACCUGCCCAAUGAAUAUUUUAAUGGCCGCGGUAUUUUGACCGUGCAAAGGUAGCAUAAUCAUUAGUUCAUUAAUUGUGGACUUGUAUGAAUGGUUUGACGAAUUAUUAACUGUCUCAUAUUUAAAUUUAUAAUUUAAAUUUUUAGUUAAAAUGCUUAAAUUUUUUUAAUGGACGAGAAGACCCUAUAGAUCUUUAUUUUAAUUUUUAUUGGUUUAUUUUGGAAUAUUUUUUUCUGUUAAAAAUUAAUUUUUUGUUGGGGUGACAUUGAGAUAUAAUUAACUCUUUAUUUAUUUAUACAUUUAUUUUUGUUUAUUUGACCUAUUAUUAUUGUUUUAAGAUGUAGAUACCUUAGGGAUAACAGCGUUAUUUUUUUUGAGAGUUCAUAUUUACAAAUAAGAUUGCGACCUCGAUGUUGGAUUAAGAUAAUAAUUAGGUGUAGAUGCUUAAUAGUUAAGUCUGUUCGACUUUUAAAUUCUUACAUGAUCUGA
This 522-nucleotide ribosomal RNA is filed under the name Planososibia lysippus. RNAcentral's name for it is "partial 16S ribosomal RNA". It matches the Rfam family "Bacterial large subunit ribosomal RNA", at positions 1810 to 2608 of the family's 2925-position model. Lineage: Eukaryota; Metazoa; Arthropoda; Insecta; Phasmatodea; Lonchodidae. The record is from RNAcentral.